AGGACGAACGCUGGCGGCGCGCCUAAAACAUGCAAGUCGAACGAGAAACCCGGGCUUGCCCGGGUGGACAGUGGCGAACGGGUGAGUAACACGUGAGGAACCUGCCCCGAAGACCGGGACAACACCGGGAAACCGGUGCUAAUACCGGAUACCUUCACCGAAUCGCAUGGUCUGGUGAAGAAAUGGAUUCCGCUUCGGGAUGGCCUCGCGGCCUAUCAGCUUGUUGGUGAGGUAAUGGCUCACCAAGGCGACGACGGGUAGCUGGUCUGAGAGGAUGUCCAGCCACACUGGGACUGAGACACGGCCCAGACUCCUACGGGAGGCAGCAGUUAGGAAUCUUGCGCAAUGGGCGAAAGCCUGACGCAGCGACGCCGCGUGCGGGAUGAAGGCCUUCGGGUUGUAAACCGCUUUCAGCAGGGACGAAUUGACGGUACCUGCAGAAGAACGCCCCGGCAACUACGUGCCAGCAGCCGC
This 474-nucleotide ribosomal RNA is filed under the name uncultured bacterium. RNAcentral's name for it is "SSU rRNA". It matches the Rfam family "Bacterial small subunit ribosomal RNA", at positions 26 to 518 of the family's 1533-position model. The record is from RNAcentral.